Molecule: unclassified non-coding RNA, 300 nt
Filed under: Hevea brasiliensis (rubber tree)
Lineage: Eukaryota; Viridiplantae; Streptophyta; Magnoliopsida; Malpighiales; Euphorbiaceae
Source: RNAcentral
CAAAACAAAACAUUACCUCUCACCGGGAACAUCAGGAAUCCAUUUCUUCUGAUCGAUCUUUCAGAAUGGGAUCCACUUGUGAAGGUGGAACCAUUUCAAGGAUCCAUGGUUGCGUGGAUUCGUUUGAGCUACUAGGUUUCGCAGCCAGGGGCGUAUUUAUAAGCCCUAGGCGAAGGAUAAAUGCACCUGGUGUUGGAGAUGCAAGCCCAUUGAGAGCGUGGAAACAAUAUCUAGAAGCUAACUUGCUAACACAGUGGAAUAUCUGCUGACCAAAUAAACUAGUUAGAUGAUGGAACAUAG